GACGAACGCUGGCGGCGUGCCUAAUACAUGCAAGUUGAGCGCUGAAGGUUGGUACUUGUACCGACUGGAUGAGCAGCGAACGGGUGAGUAACGCGUGGGGAAUCUGCCUUCGAGCGGGGGACAACAAUUGGAAACGAAUGCUAAUACCGCAUAACAACUUUAAACACAAGUUUUAAGUUUGAAAGAUGCAAUUGCAUCACUCAAAGAUGAUCCCGCGUUGUAUUAGCUAGUUGGUGAGGUAAAGGCUCACCAAGGCGAUGAUACAUAGCCGACCUGAGAGGGUGAUCGGCCACAUUGGGACUGAGACACGGCCCAAACUCCUACGGGAGGCAGCAGUAGGGAAUCUUCGGCAAUGGACGAAAGUCUGACCGAGCAACGCCGCGUGAGUGAAGAAGGUUUUCGGAUCGUAAAACUCUGUUGGUAGAGAAGAACGUUGGUGAGGGUGGAAAGCUCAUCAAGUGACGGUAACUACCCAGAAAGGGACGGCUAACUACGUGCCAGCCGCCGCGGUAA
This 513-nucleotide ribosomal RNA is filed under the name uncultured bacterium. Its description in RNAcentral is "partial 16S ribosomal RNA". It matches the Rfam family "Bacterial small subunit ribosomal RNA", at positions 28 to 523 of the family's 1533-position model. The record is from RNAcentral.